GUCUGCCGGCUGUGAGACGAGUCAGAAACCGUUGAUGUAGCGAAGGACAUGCGAAAGGUCCGGCGUAGAGGGUAAGACCCCCGUAGCUGAAACAUCAGCGGCUUGUUUGAGAGACACCCAAGUAGCACGGGGCCCGAGAAAUCCCGUGUGAAUCUGGCGGGACCACCCGCUAAGCCUAAAUAUUCCCUGGUGCGUAGCGGAUAGUACCGUGAGGGAAUGGUGGUACCGCGGGAGCGGAGUGAAAUAGUACCUGAAACCGUGUGCCUACAAGCCGUGGGAGCGUCGCGCAUCGAGCUUGCUCGGUGCGUCGUGACUGCGUGCCUUUUGAAGAGAGCCUGCGAGUUAGCGGUUGUAGCGAGGUUAACCCGUGUGGGGAAGCCGUAGCGAAAGCGAGUCCGAACAGGGCGUUUGAGUUGCACGCUCUAGACCCGAAGCGGAGUGAUCUAGCCAUGGGCAGGUUGAAGCGGAGGUAAGAUCGUGGAGGACCGAACCCACCAGGGUUGAAAACCUGGGGGAUGACCUGUGGUUAGGGGUGAAAGGCCAAUCAAACUCCGUGAUAGCUGGUUCUCCCCGAAAUGCAUUUAGGUGCAGCGUCGUGUGUUUCUUGCCCCGGAGGUAGAGCACUGGAUAGGCGAUGGGCCCUACCGGGUUACUGACCUUAGCCAAACUCCGAAUGCCGGUAAGUGAGAGCGCGGCAGUGAGACUGUGGGGGAUAAGCUCCAUGGUCGAGAGGGAAACAGCCCAGAGCAUCGACUAAGGCCCCUAAGCGUACGCUAAGUGGGAAAGGAUGUGGAGUCGCAGAGACAACCAGGAGGUUGGCUUAGAAGCAGCCACCCUUGAAAGAGGCGUAAUAGCUCACUGGUCAAGUGAUUCCGCGCCGACAAUGUAGCGGGGCUCAAGCGUACCGCCGAAGUCGUGUCAUUCAUAACACAUAUCCUUAACGGGAGUAUGGAUGGGUAGGGGAGCGUCGUGUGCCGGGUGAAGCAGCCGCGGAAGCGAGUUGUGGACGGUUCACGAGUGAGAAUGCAGGCAUGAGUAGCGAUACACACGUGAGAACGUGUGCGCCGAUUGACUAAGGGUUCCUGGGUCAAGCUGAUCUGCCCAGGGUAAGUCGGGACCUAAGGCGAGGCCGACAGGCGUAGUCGAUGGACAACCGGUUGAUAUUCCGGUACCCGCUUUGAAACGCCCAGUACUGAAUCAGCGAUGCUAAGUCCGUGAAGCCGGCCCGAUCUCUUCGGAGUUGAGGGUAGUGGUGGAGCCGAUGAACCAGACUUGUAGUAGGUAAGCGAUGGGGUGACGCAGGAAGGUAGUCCAGCCCGGGCGGUGGUUGUCCCGGGGUAAGGGUGUAGGACGUUGGUAGGCAAAUCCGCGCAACAUGUGUCUGAGACCUGAUGCCGAGCCGAUUGUGGUGAGUGGAUGAUCCUAUGCUGUCGAGAAAAGCCUCUAGCGAGUUUCAUGGCGGCCCGUACCCUAAACCGACUCAGGUGGUCAGGUAGAGAAUACCGAGGCGUUCGGGUGAACUAUGGUUAAGGAACUCGGCAAAAUGCCCCCGUAACUCGGGAGAAGGGGGGCCAUCACUGGUGAUCCGAUUUACUCGGUGAGCUGGGGUGGCCGCAGAGACCAGCGAGAAGCGACUGUUUACUAAAAACACAGGUCCGUGCGAAGCCGUAAGGCGAUGUAUACGGACUGACGCCUGCCCGGUGCUGGAACGUUAAGGGGACCGGUUAGCUGCCUUUCGGGGUGGCGAAGCUGAGAACUUAAGCGCCAGUAAACGGCGGUGGUAAUAUAACCAUCCUAAGGUAGCGAAAUUCCUUGUCGGGUAAGUUCCGACCUGCACGAAUGGCGUAACGACUUCUCGACUGUCUCAACCAUAGGCCCGGUGAAAUUGCACUACGAGUAAAGAUGCUCGUUUCGCGCAGCAGGACGGAAAGACCCCGGGACCUUUACUAUAGUUUGAUAUUGGUGUUCGGUUCGGCUUGUGUAG
This 1984-nucleotide ribosomal RNA is filed under the name Streptomyces sp. CS014. RNAcentral describes it as "bacterial LSU rRNA". It matches the Rfam family "Bacterial large subunit ribosomal RNA", at positions 289 to 2141 of the family's 2925-position model. Lineage: Bacteria; Bacillati; Actinomycetota; Actinomycetes; Kitasatosporales; Streptomycetaceae. The record is from RNAcentral.